This 187-nucleotide unclassified non-coding RNA is filed under the name uncultured Rozellomycota. RNAcentral describes it as "uncultured Cryptomycota sequence contains ITS2". The record is from RNAcentral. Lineage: Eukaryota; Fungi; Rozellomycota.
AACAAGAUCAACUCUAGUUGAGAGUUGGGAUUGACCUUAUGUGCCUCACAUUUGGUUUAAAUAAAUCGAGUUGAUGAGCUUCCCAAUACGGCUCAAUGUGUGCUAGCGAGACAGUCGUCCCGAUCUCACAUUUCGGUCGUGUUGCAGAGUUCUAACCACAAUUCGCUAAAUUCAUUAAUAAUCAAAU